Octodon degus (degu) is the source of this 795-nucleotide RNA transcript. It is a transcript of the gene named dnaJ homolog subfamily B member 6-like, with no coding region annotated. The transcript is spliced from 3 exons. The record is from RefSeq and is a predicted model, not a curated record. NCBI's taxonomy places the organism in Eukaryota, Metazoa, Chordata, Mammalia, Rodentia, Octodontidae.
UAGUCCGUAUCCUCGGACUUGUCCCGGCACUGUUCAAACAUGGUGGAUUACUAUGAAGUUCUAGGCGUGCAGAGGUACGCCUCCCCCGAGCACAUGAAGAAAGCACCCAAACCUGUCUUGGAUCAUGCUGAUAAAAAUCCUGAGAAUAAAGAAGAAGCUGAGUGAAAAUUCAAACAAGUGGCUGAGGCAUAUGAGGUGUUAUCAGAUGCUAAAAAAUGGGACAUCUAUGACAAAUAUGGCAAAGAAGGAUUAAAUGGUGGUGGAGGAGGUAGACGUCAUUUUGACAGUCCAUUUGAGUUUGGGUUCACAUUCCAGAACCCAGAAGAUGUCUUCAGGGAAUUUUUUGGUGGAAGGGAUCUAUUUUCAUUUGACUUCUUUGAUAAUGAAAGCCCAUUUGAAGACAUUUUUGGGAACCGAAGGGGUCCCCAAGGAAGCAGAAGCCAUGGUACAGGGUCCUUUUUCUCCACCUUCAGUGGAUUUUCAUCCUGUGGAGGUGGAUUUUCUUCAUCUGAUACAGGAUUUCCUUCAUCUGGAUCCCUAGGUCACGGGGGCCUCACUUCAUUUUCAUCCACAUCACUUGGGGGCAGUGCGAUGGGUAACUUCAAAUCUAUAUCAACUUCUACUAAAAUCAUUAAUGGUAGAAAAAUCACCACAGAGCCCGGGGAGAUGAGAAUUGUUGAGAAUGGUCAAGAAAGAGUAGAAGUCGAAGAAGAUGGACAGUUAAAGUCCUUAACAAUAAAUGGUAAGGAGCAGCUGCUGCGCUUGGAUAGCAAGUCAUUCAAUGCACGCAUUUAA